Chenopodium quinoa (quinoa) is the source of this 718-nucleotide long non-coding RNA. RefSeq lists it as uncharacterized. The transcript is spliced from 2 exons. NCBI's taxonomy places the organism in Eukaryota, Viridiplantae, Streptophyta, Magnoliopsida, Caryophyllales, Amaranthaceae. The record is from RefSeq and is a predicted model, not a curated record.
CUAUAGAUGCGUGUUUGGUCAGGUCAACACUAUGGAGACAUGUUCAACUACUUCAUCUCACUCAAAUUGGUAAACGUUUCUUGAAAGAGGAUUAUUUUUUUUAUUUUAUUUUUUUCCCAAAGAGGAUUAUGAAUAUCCUGCAUCGAAUAUAAACUCGCAACAGAGAGAAAAAAUAAAGAGAUAGAGAGAAAAGGAAAAAGAUGUCGACGCCACUUCGGGAAGGUCCCGGUGGUUACUGUUUGCGUUCUAGGGUUGUCCCAUCCAGAGGCUAAAACCAAAAUCAAUCGCUGCUGCUUUUUUUGUAUGGAUAACAAUAUUUAUCAUCCUAGAUGUAGAGGAUUCAAGACUGGCCUGGAGAAUAAUGGUGGAAUAUAUUUCUAAGGAGCGUGAAAGACUCAAUGAUUUCCUGGCUAUGUUGUCCAGGAACUACUUUUAAUGACCAUAAUACUGUGGGUAUCUAUGAUGUAAUUGAAGUUAUGUUUGAACUUUGAAGCAUGCCUGGUUUUCUAGUUUGGCUAGUUGCCUUCUAAAAAUUAUCUUGGCUCUGUGCUAGGACAUAGUAGUAGACUCUGUGAGUAUUUGCGGUAGUAUCAUUGUAUCUCUCAGACUAAUUUUACUUCUUACAUCAAAUAAUGUAUUUUACAAUGCAUUAUUUGACCAAACAUCUCUAUAAUAAUGAAAAAAAAAACAGUCCAUUAUAAUCUCUGCUUCUUUGGUA